RNAcentral lists this ribosomal RNA (253 nucleotides) under uncultured bacterium. RNAcentral describes it as "partial 16S ribosomal RNA". It matches the Rfam family "Bacterial small subunit ribosomal RNA", at positions 524 to 776 of the family's 1533-position model. The record is from RNAcentral.
UACGGGGGGGGCAAGCGUUGUUCGGAAUUACUGGGCGUAAAGGGCUCGUAGGCGGCCAACUAAGUCAGACGUGAAAUCCCCAGGCUCAACCUGGGAACUGCGUCUGAUACUGGAUGGCUUGAAUCCGGGAGAGGGAUGCAGAAUUCCAGGUGUAGCGGUGAAAUGCGUAGAUAUCUGGAGGAACACCGAUGGCGAAGGCGGCUACCUGGGCGAAUACUGACACUGAGGCACGAAAGCGUGGGGAGCAAACAGG